AGCCUCUCUCAGCAGGCGCCCGGGUGCCGCUGAUGUGGGGGGAAGGGGGGAAACAAAGGACUUAUUCUCUGGGUGCGCAGCCGGUGGCAUCGCAGGGGCGUUGGCGGAAGCCCCCGGGGGCCAGGAGGGGGCAGGCCUGGGCGGGGCUGAGGAAUCACGGGCUCCUGUUCCCCGCAGGGUGCAGGAGGAGUAAACCCGCGGAGCAGCUUUUCGGCUUCCCCACUUGCGCGUCCGGCGAUGGCGAUAGGAGGUCCUGCUGCGCUCUCCGUGCCGCUCGGUCUACACUAGCCGUGCAGCGCUGCGCUCCCGUGGAGCCACCUUCCAGGGCACCCCGAUCGCCCCCCCUACGACCCCUUCCCCUGGCCCCUCGGCCGCGUCCCCCCCCCACUCUACCUUUUAAUCGGGGCGCCUUCUCCCCCCCACCAUCCAGUUUAUUCUCCCCUCGGGGAGCCCGUUCCCCCCCUCCCCGUAGCCCAGCUCACUCUCCCUCCGGGGAGCCCUCUUCCCCACUUUCGCCCAGCUCCCUCUCCCUCCGGGGGCGCCCGCUCCCCCCGGCUUAGCUCCCUCUAUCCCCGGGGCACCCGCUCCCCAAUCCCGGCCCGGCCCGGACCACCCAGAGGCGCAGCACGGAGUCUCGGCGGCCCAUGGCGCAGCCCACAACCUCAGCCCAGAAGCUGGUGCGGCCCAUCCGCGCAGUGUGCCGCAUCCUGCAGAUCCCGGAGUCUGACCCCUCCAACCUGCGGCCCUAGAGCGCCCCCGACGCUCGGGGGAGAGAGGGGGUGAGAGGAGCCCGCAGGCCCCAGAGGCGGCUCAUGGGGAGGGCGCGUCCGGCAAUUGCCAGGACCCCCGCUACCCUCGCGCCAGGUCCCAGCAGCACAGGAUUCUAAGAGAAGAAGGUGAGGAGGGAGUGAAUUCCAGUGAAGGGGCACACAGCCUGUUCAAAGUCAUGGAGGCCGGAGAUGGAAUGCUGAGUUUGGGGAACAGCGAGUAGACCAGUUUGGCUGGAACAGAGAGUUCAUGAAGGGGCGUAACGUGAAAUAAACCUGGAAAGGAAGCCCCUUUGUGAGAACCCCAUGAGGGCAGAGGCAUCAUGGAAAGCACACACACCUACCUGCAAGAUACCCCCACCUGGGAGAAGCCAGCAUCAGAGAAUGGCAUCAGACAAGAGCCAGGCACCUUGCCACGGGGUCCACACUAUGGACCACUGUGCCUGGGAGAUCCUGCUCCUUUUUGGAGAGGAACCCUGAACACCCCAGACUCUUGGUUUCCACAUGAUUUACCCCAUGGCCCAAAUGACCCAAUUCCAUUCUUGGGGGGUGAGGGACCCCGUAAUGGUGAGGGAAAGACUGGAUGGUUGGGGGCCAAAGAGGGACUGCGAUGGAAGGAAGCAAUGCUAGCCCACCAGCUGGCACUCUGUGGGCAGCCAUGCCCACCUCGUCAUAACCUCCUGCCCCCAGAGCAAGGUAGCAGCCAUCCCAAGAAUGACCCAUUGGCUUUCCGGCCCUUACAUUGCCCCUUCCUUCUGGAGACCAAGAUCCUAGAGAGGACCCCCUUCUGGGUGCCUGCCUGCCUGCCUCCUUACUUGGUGCCCAGCCAGCCCCACGAUCGGCCUUCUGAUUGGCCCCUAGCUCCUAUUCCUUGGGCAUACCUGGGGACCCAGCCCAAGAGUCCUCCUGUUUUCAGCUCAGGAAGCAAGGGCUUUUAUCACAAAGAUCUAGGCAUACCUCGCCUGGCAAAAGAGAUGUUGACCACUGCCGAACCUGGGUUGUUGGGCGUAGCCCCUGGUGGGCAUCUUCAGAGAGCUGGGGAGAUGGAUCGGUCCCUACCCUAUCAAAAGGAUGGGGAGCCAGGGGCCAAUGGGCACCAGAACCUUUGCCCACUUUUGGGGGGGUGCCCAGAUAUACUCGGCGGCCGGACCCUCUGGCCUACUCAUUCCCCAGGUUUGGUUCAUGCUCUUGGAAGCUCCUGGGUAGUGCCUCGAAAUGGGAACCUCAGAAACCCCCAACCAGGGCCAUCCUCUGGGUCAGAGUGCCCUUCCCCAGGACAGUCUGUCAGUCAGGUGGGCUGCUGUUCAUCCCAUCUGCCUGCUGGAGAUGAGAGUCAUAGCCACUGUGGAAGGUGCCAGGAAGGCACAGAAGGUGGUACUAGUGGGACAACUGGUUCCACUGAAGAAGUCGGCAAGCUUCCUGGGCCUGGGGCCUGCCCCCCAAGCCACCAUACCAAGCUCAAGAAGACCUGGCUCACUCGGCAUUCUGAGCAAUUUGGAUGUUUGACUGGGUGCCCAGGGGAGGAGGUGGGCCCAACCACUCAGGUUGGGUCCCUCAAGAGGGAGGGAAGUCCUGAGGUGGGGGGAGCAGCGGGUAGCCCAGCCCCUAAGCGUCCAGCUGACUCCUUCCCGGACAGUGAGGGACAGGGGACUGGGAGUUGGCAGGAAGCUUUGGAACCACCACUUGGAAGCAAGGCCGAGACGGCGGAACAUGAUGGCUGGAGAGGAUUCCUGGGCAGCAGGCCUGGCCUUGAUGGACUUGAACUCCAGAGUGUGCCUUGCACAGAGCUCCCAGCAGGAAUGCCCCGUUGCCAGAGCUGUGCCCUUGGGGAAAGGGAAGAUCCAGGGAGGACUUGCCGCCUUAUGAACGUGAGAAAGUUACCUUCAAGUGGAACAAGGACAGAGGAAGGUGAAACCAGCCAGACUGAGGAGGGCAGAGGCUGCAGGCCCGGGCCAGACACCAAGCUGAGUGUGCAUCUCGCCAAGUAUCUGCUGAAUAGUCUCGGGGACAGAUUCUGUAGACUACUGAGGAGGGAGCGGGAGGCCUUUGCCUGGGCUUUGGAGGAAGUGGGGGAACCCACCCUUGCCCCAAUCCCAUGGGAGGACCCCAAAGCGCCAAGAUCCUGUAGCCGCUGCUACCGUGGACUCUUCAACACACAUUGGGGCUGCCCUCACUGCUGCUACAGGCUCUGUCUGGCCUGUGGCCAUGUGGGGAGGACUAAGGAUACCACAGGCCCUCAGGAGCAGCCCCCGGAGAAGUGUGCCCAUAACACUGGGCACGAUGCCCACUCUCUUAUGCUAACCCAGUUCGUUCCCAGUCAGGCUCUGGCAGAGCUGAGCACCAAAAUGCACCAAGUCCGGGCCAAGUUUGACAUCCGAGCGCACUGCCCUUGCCAGGCUGAUGCUCGAGUGUGGGCUCCUGGGGAUAGAGGACAAAAGAAGGAGACAAUAGAGAAAAUUCCUCCAACUCCACAAUCCUCUUGCAAUGGUGAUGCACACAGAACCAAGGAAAUCAAAGAAGAAGCCACAGACACCACUGAAACUCCAGGAGAAGCCCCAGGAGGCCGGGGAUCCCUGCCCUGCCCCUCCCUGUGUGAACUCCUUGCUUCCACGGCUGUUAAACUCUGCCUGGGCCAUGAGAGAAUCCACAUGGCCUUUGCCCCUGUGACCCCGGCCUUGCCCAAUGAUGAUCGGAUUACUAACAUCCUGGAUAGCAUCAUCGCCCAGGUGGUGGAAAGGAAGAUUCAGGAGAAGGCACUGGGUCCAGGGCUGCGGAAGGGGCUCGGCCUGCCCAGCUCUGCCACUCCACGUGGCCUGCCUUCUCGGGGAGCCCUGCUGUGGCUUCAGGAGCCCCAGCCCCAGCACAACUUCCAUCUCUUUCAGGAACACUGGAGACAGGGCCAGCCCGUGCUGGUAUCCGGACUACAGAGAACACUUCAGAGCAGUCUCUGGGGGCCAGAAGCCCUUGGGUCACUGGGGGGAAAGGUACAGGCCCUGAGCCUUCUUGGGCCUCCCCGGUCCACCGAGCUGGGCAGCACAGCUUUCUGGAAGGGUUUCUCCCGACCGGAGGCUCGUCCAAAGCUAGAAAGUGGGUCCCUCCUUCUUUUGCAUAGAAAUCUAGGCGAGCCAGAGUCCAGCAGAACAGAGAACCUGGCUGCUAGCCUGCCCCUCCCAGAAUAUUGUACCAGCCAUGGGAAACUCAACCUGGCUUCUUACUUCCCUCCCAUCCCUACCCUCUGCCGGCUGGAGCCACAACUCUGUGCCUCUUAUGGUGUGAGCCCACAGCACGGGCACCUGGGGACCAAGAAUCUGUGCGUGGAGGUGACAGACCUCAUCAGUGUCCUGGUCCAUGCAGAAGCGCCAGUACCUACUUGGCACCGGGCACAGAAAGAACUCCUGACAUGCCUGGAAGGUGAGGGGCUGUGGUCCCCAGGUAGCCAGGUGGGCGCUGUGUGGCAUGUGUUUCGGGCACAGGACGCCCAGCGCAUUUGUCGCUUUCUCCAGAUGGUGAGGAAGGUGUGCCCCUCUGGAGCAGGCACCCUGGAUCCAGGAUCCCCUGGCAACUGCUAUUUGGAUACCGCUCUUCGUCGCCGCCUUCGCGAGGAGUGGGGUGUGAGCGGCUGGACCCUUCUGCAAGCCCCUGGCGAGGCUGUGCUGGUGCCCGCCGGGGCCCCUCACCAGGUGCAGGGUUUGGUGAACUCGGUCAGCGUCAACCAGUAUUUCCUGUCUCCUGAGACCAUCGGCCUCUCCAUCCAGCUCUGCCACCAGGCACCCAACCUGCCUCCUGAUGCCCGCCAGGUUUAUAGCCAGGAUCAUCAAAAUAUUGCUAUUUGAAUCCCUAAUGGAUGGUUUUCAAAAUCCAACAUAUGCCACAGAAUCUCAGAACUAGAAGGGACCCCAGAAGAUAUCCAGGCUUAUAGGAAGAUAGAGCACAGGAUUUGGCUGAGAGUCUCCAAGAACUUCCAACUCAAAGGUGGAUUUGGAUACUCUCCAGAGUCUGAGGAUUGAAAGGAUAAUCUGAGGCUGUUAGUCAAAAGAAAUGGAGAUGACUUACUAACUGGUUCGUAGUGUGGAUGUCUCAGUCUCAAUUAUGGAACAGAAUGAGCCUGGGAAAAGCAGGAUAUGAAUGGACCGUCACUCUGAAUCAGAAAUGCAACACUGUCAUACAUUUAAGAUGUUUUGGACUGUCUGCUGGACAACCAGUGGUUUUCAGUCUGAGGUCUAUAUCAAGGAUACCAUCAGAAUUCUAUGGCAGCUGAAGAUAAAGAAGAGGACCUCCCAUCCAGUGGGUUCUACUAAUCUGAAUGUGUGUGUACCAAGGAUUUCUGGAACUUUAGCUACUUUUUGGUGAUUCAUGGAAAAAGUUUAGUGAGUGACCUGCAUUGUUGGCUGGAGGUGCUUAUGUUCCUGGAUAAUCUAUUGUAUUUGAAAAAAUAUUGGAAGAGCAUAAGAAAAGACUGCUAAAGAAAGGGACAGGAAGAACAUAACCCACAUCCUGCUCAAACUAGUGCUAGCCUUGGCAAGCAUCAAGAAGUCUAAAACUACAUCUUCAAGGAACCCCAUAGCCAGACUGUUUUAAUUACACCAUGAAAAACAGGUUGAAGACAGAGGCCUUAGGGCUCACAUACCAGUUAUGGACAUUCUCUUCUCCACAGAACCUGAUUCAUCCGGGUCUGGAAACUGGUUUUCAACUUAGAUUAUUUAAUAGGCCCAAAAUUAGGACUGCAGACCAAUAAGCCUGAGGAUAUUGACUCACCCAUAAGGCCUCAAGAGACAAGGUAUACGGAUGUGACAAUAUGACAAGUACAAAGACUAACUGGCCAGGGACCAGGCUGGAAUGCAAUAUCCCUGGGAUCAUAGAUGAAGAUACAAUACUCAUUUUGUUAAAAAAAAAAA
Molecule: RNA transcript, 5662 nt
Organism: Sarcophilus harrisii (Tasmanian devil)
Lineage: Eukaryota; Metazoa; Chordata; Mammalia; Dasyuromorphia; Dasyuridae
Gene: HR
Gene name: HR lysine demethylase and nuclear receptor corepressor
Exons: 24
Source: RefSeq, a predicted model, not a curated record